CCCCUUUCAGAGUAACAAUUGGAGGGAAAGUAUGGUGCCAGCAGCCGCGGUAAUUCCAGCUCCAAUAGCGUAUAUUUGAGUUGUUGCAGUUAAAAAGAUAGUAGUUGGAUUUCUGUCUUGGCUUUUACGUGUACUACAUGUAUAUUAAUUUAUAGAUGUUUUAUAACAGCGUUUAAACUUUGACAUAUUAUCCCAAUGUGUGUAUGUGUGUGUAUAUAUAGAGAAUUAGGUUUUAAAACCCUGAUUUAAUAUAUAUAUAUAUAUAUAAUCAUUGGGACUUUUACUUUGAGAAAAAUAGAGUGUUUCAAGCAGGUAUUUUUUUGCCUUGAAUACUGCAGCAUGGAAUAAUAAUAUAGGACUUUGGUUUUAUUUUGUU
RNAcentral lists this ribosomal RNA (376 nucleotides) under Eimeriidae sp. RNAcentral describes it as "bacterial SSU rRNA". It matches the Rfam family "Eukaryotic small subunit ribosomal RNA", at positions 530 to 845 of the family's 1831-position model. The record is from RNAcentral. Lineage: Eukaryota; Apicomplexa; Conoidasida; Eucoccidiorida; Eimeriidae.